Phyllopteryx taeniolatus (common seadragon) is the source of this 2158-nucleotide long non-coding RNA. RefSeq lists it as uncharacterized. The transcript is spliced from 5 exons. The record is from RefSeq and is a predicted model, not a curated record. NCBI's taxonomy places the organism in Eukaryota, Metazoa, Chordata, Actinopteri, Syngnathiformes, Syngnathidae.
GAAGGUGGGCUGAAACUUCAAUCACCCAUUUAUUGGGAAUCCAGCUUUCAGUGGAGGUCUUCCCCGAGUCUCUGGACUGUUGUGGGGGCGAGCGGCGAGCUUCAAAGCACUCAGUUUCGAGCCAGAAGGUGGGCUGAAACUUCAAUCACCCAUUUAUUGGGAAUCCAGCUUUCAGUGGAGGUCUUCCCCGAGUCUCUGGACUGUUGUGGGGGCGAGCGGCGAGCUUCAAAGCACUCAGUUUCGAGCCAGGACCAACAAUUGCUAAUCUAGAGAAGUCCUAAGAGUGGCGUCUCCCCCCCUGCCCCGCACUGUGCAGAUUGACAGAUCUUUUCAGUGGAGCACGACUUUCCAGCAGCACGACUACAGACAAGGCCUUCAACCGUUCCUCUACCUGCACCUGACCAUGACACCAAGAGACGGACCUGCUCUCAAUCCCAGGAGACGUGGAUGAAGACAGAGCCGCAGGAUCUGGGGCCGUGGCCGGGAUGUCGCUCGCUUGACGAGCAGCUCUCGUGGCACUCUGACCGAGGGCAGCCGGACGGCCAGCGUUCCGGCGGUGAAGAUGGAGCCGGCCAGCAGUGAUGGAUGGACAGUCGUUAAUGACUGUGUGCAUGCAUUUUUUUUGUGUGUGUAUACAUCCAUCCAUCCAUCCAUUUUCUGAGCCGCUUCUCCUCACUAGGGUCGCGGGCGCGGUGGAGCCUAUCCCAGCUGUCAUCGGGCAGGAGGCGGGGUACACCCUGAACUGGUUGCCAGCCAAUCGCAGACAUCAGUGAAGAUCUUCGUCCUGAGCAGCAGGGCCCAGAGCCCCCUCACAUUAAAGAGGAAGUGGAGGCCGAAGAGGUCCACCGCAUCAAAGAGGAAGAUAAAUUGGAGCCCACUCCCAUUAAAAAAGAGGAUGUGGAAGAGCACCCCCACAUCAAACAUGAAGUGGAGGAGGACAUCACCAAGUUUCCAUCUACUGGUGUCCCGUUGAAGAGUGAAGAUGAAGGUCAAAGUGAGGAGAGCAGAGGGGCGCAGCCUCCAAGCAGCAGGUCAAGUCAACACAUGACAACAGAAGGUGAUGGAGACCACUGUGGAGGAUGACAAGCAGACGGACUCUUAGCUCCACUGUCAGAUUGUGAUGACACAAUGGCACACCCUCCUCACACUGAUGAUGAUGAUGAUGGACACUGUGAAGCUGAUAUGACAUGUCACAUUGAAAACAAACAAUGGAAAUGUUCUCAGUGUAGGAAAACAUUUGGUUAUAAGAGCAAUUUGAAACAACACAUGAAAAUACACACAGGAGAGAAAGAUUUUGCCUGCUCUGUUUGUGGUCAAAGAUUCUCUUGCAAGGGAGAUUUAAAAAGACACACAAGAACCCACACUGGUGAGAAACCUUUUGCCUGCUCAGUGUGUGGUAAAAGAUUCACUCAGAAGCGAUAUUUAAAAAUACACACAAGAACCCACACUGGUGAGAAAUCUUUUGCCUGCCCGGUUUGUGGUCAAAGAUUCUCUGAAAGGGGAAGCUUAAAAAGACACACAAGAACCCACACUGGUGAGAAACCUUUUUCCUGCUCAGUGUGUGGUAAAAGAUUCUCUGUCAAGAGAAACUUGAGAAACCACACAAGAACCCACACUGGUGAGAAACCUUUUGCCUACCCAGGUUGUGGUCAAAGAUUCUCUGAAAGGGAAAGCUUAAAAAGACACACAAGAACCCACACUGGUGAGAAACCUUUUUCCUGCACAGUGUGUGGUAAAAGAUUCUCUGUCAAGAGAAACUUGAGAAACCACACAAUAACCCACACUGGUAAGAAACCUUUUGCCUGCUCAGUUUGCCGUUAACGAUUCUCUCAUAAAUAUCAGGCUAAGACCCACAAGUGUGCUAUGAGAACAGCAGUGAUGAAGAAGCUUUAGAUGAAAAAGGUCAAUGGUUAAUAUCAAAGAAAAUGACUAUCAUACCGAAUUACAAAAAUCUACAAUCUUGGAUUCUGUCUGCCAUAUUUUAUUUUGUCAACCCUUUAGUUUUCUUUGUAUGUUCCAAAAGCCUCCUAUGGACAAAUGUUGAGAAUUCCCACUGGUGCCAAAAUGCUUUUAUCCAAUGUUUUAAAAUGAGCAAAUGAUUUAUCAAACUAGAUUUUGAAGAGAGUUUUAACUUUUGGUGAAUAUGUUGAAAAGUGUA